GAUGAACGCUAGCGGCAGGCCUAACACAUGCAAGUCGAGGGGCAGCACGGGUAGCAAUACUUGGUGGCGACCGGCGCACGGGUGAGUAACGCGUAUGCAACCUACCCAUAACAGUGGGAUAGCCCGGAGAAAUUCGGAUUAAUACCGCAUAACAUUAUCGGAUCGCAUGGUUUGAUGAUUAAAUUUACGGAGGUUAUGGAUGGGCAUGCGUGACAUUAGAUAGUUGGUGAGGUAACGGCUCACCAAGUCAGCGAUGUCUAGGGGGCCUGAGAGGGUAAUCCCCACACUGGUACUGAGACACGGACCAGACUCCUACGGGAGGCUG
RNAcentral lists this ribosomal RNA (325 nucleotides) under uncultured Bacteroidota bacterium. Its description in RNAcentral is "bacterial SSU rRNA". It matches the Rfam family "Bacterial small subunit ribosomal RNA", at positions 28 to 351 of the family's 1533-position model. Lineage: Bacteria; Pseudomonadati; Bacteroidota. The record is from RNAcentral.